GACCUCGGAUCAGGUAGGGAUACCCGCUGAACUUAAGCAUAUCAAUAAGCGGAGGAAAAGAAACCAACAGGGAUUGCCUCAGUAACGGCGAGUGAAGCGGCAACAGCUCAAAUUUGAAAUCUGGCUCUUUCAGGGUCCGAGUUGUAAUUUGUAGAAGAUGCUUUGGGUGUAGCUCCGGUCUAAGUUCCUUGGAACAGGACGUCAUAGAGGGCGAGAAUCCCGUAUGUGACUGGGUGCUUUCGCUCGUGUAAAGCUCUUUCGACGAGUCGAGUUGUUUGGGAAUGCAGCUCAAAAUGGGUGGUAAAUUUCAUCUAAAGCUAAAUAUUGGCCAGAGACCGAUAGCGCACAAGUAGAGUGAUCGAAAGAUGAAAAGCACUUUGGAAAGAGAGUUAAACAGUACGUGAAAUUGUUGAAAGGGAAGCGCUUGCAACCAG
Molecule: ribosomal RNA, 434 nt
Filed under: uncultured fungus
Lineage: Eukaryota; Fungi
Description: eukaryotic LSU rRNA
Rfam family: Eukaryotic large subunit ribosomal RNA
Source: RNAcentral